RNAcentral lists this transfer RNA (82 nucleotides) under Deltaproteobacteria bacterium. Its description in RNAcentral is "tRNA-Leu". It matches the Rfam family "tRNA". From Rfam's summary of the family: Transfer RNA (tRNA) molecules are approximately 80 nucleotides in length. Their secondary structure includes four short double-helical elements and three loops (D, anti-codon, and T loops). Further hydrogen bonds mediate the characteristic L-shaped molecular structure. tRNAs have two regions of fundamental functional importance: the anti-codon, which is responsible for specific mRNA codon recognition, and the 3' end, to which the tRNAs corresponding amino acid is attached (by aminoacyl-tRNA synthetases). tRNAs cope with the degeneracy of the genetic code in two manners: having more than one tRNA (with a specific anti-codon) for a particular amino acid; and 'wobble' base-pairing, i.e. permitting non-standard base-pairing at the 3rd anti-codon position. RNAcentral also lists the same sequence under 3 other names. Lineage: Bacteria; Pseudomonadati; Myxococcota; Myxococcia. The record is from RNAcentral.
GCGAGCGUGGCGGAAUUGGCAGACGCACUGGAUUCAGGUUCCAGCGGGUAACACCGUGAAGGUUCAAGUCCUUUCGCUCGCA